UGACGCCGCUGGACGCUAGAGGGCGCAGCGCGGAGGGAGUCGCCCGCGACCACCAGCGGAGGAAACGGCACCACCUCGCGCGCAGAAUCCAUUGAUGACCUGAACAAAUGGGCCCUGUUUCUUGUCUCUCCCUUUAUACUUGAAGCAGAACACAUAGCAUUUGUGACAGAGAGCAUUUGGGUACAAGGUGACAGUUUACAGAGACCAUCUUCUGAAACAAGCAAAUUUGAAGUGUCCUGUUUGCUUUUAACCGCUGGAAAGCAGACCCCCCCCACCCCCGGACGAAGUAUCAGUGACAGUGCGGCUUCACUUUGAUCAGAGCACCCAGCGCUACCUGAAGGAGUUCGCAUGGUCUGUGGCUCAGGGACUGCGUUCCUAGAGACAGGAAGCGCACUUAGGUGAGGUCACAGUUGCAGGCUGAGAAACUUGAUCAGGGAUGUGUGUGU
This 446-nucleotide long non-coding RNA is filed under the name Ictidomys tridecemlineatus (thirteen-lined ground squirrel). Its description in RNAcentral is "lncRNA (ENSSTOG00000030567.1)". The record is from RNAcentral. Lineage: Eukaryota; Metazoa; Chordata; Mammalia; Rodentia; Sciuridae.